GCCUUUCUGGUCGUGACCGGACACGGCAGGGCCUCCCGUGUAAGCCCGCCCUGCCCCCUCCCAAACCGAGGCAAGCCAGAAGCUCUGGGCUCCCCUCUCCCCUCCUGCUCCUGCAGCCGCAGGUGACCGCAGGUGACCACAGGUGACCACAGAGAGGAGUCCCACCGCUCCACUGGGGCCGAGUCGUGGGAGCCCAGUCAGGUCGCCCGCUCUGCGCUCUCCAGCAAUAUUAGAUUGAAAAAUUAAAAGCAAACCAAAGCAAAGCAAAACAGAAUUGGUCAUUCACCACGGUCCAGAAGACCUGGCUGGAGUCCAGGCUCUCCCACUGCAUGCUCACAACUUGACCUUGGGUGACGACUCAACCGUGUGACUCUUCAGUUACCUGCUAGGCCUGCCUCUGACUCUGCAAUGAUACAUGCCAGAGACCAGGAGAAACCCAGCUCGACACACAGCCAUGGAGCAAUAACGGGUGGGGACGGCAGAGUCAUGCCUCUUAAGGAGUCCGGGAACAGCAGGAGGCUGGAAAAUCCCUUCUGGAGAAAGCAAGUGUGUGGUACAGGGGUGCCUGUGUUAGGAACAGGACCAACGUAUGAAGGGGACCAGAAUAUGUCACCCCAAAAUAUGCCACUCUGGCAUAAGGGUUAUUUUGAGCUGAAGGUCACUGAGAGAUAGCAGACGCAGGAGGAGCUCUCUGCCCUCCCCCAUCUGCCUAGAAGUAGGGCCCACAUUUCCCUGGGACGUUUCCUCCCUCUCCUGCACCAGAGACUGGGGUGGCACCAGGGGUCUGCAUCUAAAACAAUGACUAAAUAAUCCUUUUCUACCAGUAGUUUCCCCCAUAUGUUUACUUUCUCACAAUUUAUUGCCAUUAGAAGCCCAAACUCCUUUUCUCUUUUUUUUGUGAGACAGAGUCUCACUCUGUUGCCCAGGCUAGAGUGA
Molecule: non-coding RNA, 936 nt
Organism: Microcebus murinus (gray mouse lemur)
Lineage: Eukaryota; Metazoa; Chordata; Mammalia; Primates; Cheirogaleidae
Source: RefSeq, a predicted model, not a curated record